AUUGAACGCUGGCGGCAUGCUUUACACAUGCAAGUCGAACGGUAACAGGUUAAGCUGACGAGUGGCGAACGGGUGAGUAAUGCAUCGGAACGUGCCCGGUCGUGGGGGAUAACGCAGCGAAAGCUGCGCUAAUACCGCAUACGAUCUGAGGAUGAAAGCGGGGGACCGUAAGGUCUCGCGCGAUCGGAGCGGCCGAUGUCCGAUUAGGGAGUUGGUGGGGUAAAGGCUCACCAAGCCGACGAUCUGUAGCUGGUCUGAGAGGACGACCAGCCACACUGGGACUGAGACACGGCCCAGACUCCGACGGGAGGCGGCAGUGGGGAAUUUUGGACAAUGGGCGCAAGCCUGAUCCAGCAAUGCCGCGUGCAGGAAGAAGGCCUUCGGGUUGUAAACUGCUUUUGUACGGAGCGAAAAGGCUCUCUCUAAUACAGGGGGCUCACGACGGUACCGUAAGAAUAAGCACCGGCUAACUACGUGCCAGCAGCCGCAGUAA
RNAcentral lists this ribosomal RNA (493 nucleotides) under uncultured bacterium. RNAcentral's name for it is "partial 16S ribosomal RNA". It matches the Rfam family "Bacterial small subunit ribosomal RNA", at positions 29 to 523 of the family's 1533-position model. The record is from RNAcentral.